UACAGAGGGUGCAAGCGUUAAUCGGAAUUACUGGGCGUAAAGCGCACGCAGGCGGUUGGUUAAGUCAGAUGUGAAAGCCCCGGGCUCAACCUGGGAAUUGCAUUUGAAACUGGGAAACUAGAGUGUGUGAGAGGGGGGUAGAAUUCCAAGUGUAGCGGUGAAAUGCGUAGAGAUUUGGAGGAAUACCAGUGGCGAAGGCGGCCCCCUGGCACGAUACUGACGCUCAGGUGCGAAAGCGUGGGGAGCAAACAGG
This 253-nucleotide ribosomal RNA is filed under the name uncultured bacterium. RNAcentral's name for it is "partial 16S ribosomal RNA". It matches the Rfam family "Bacterial small subunit ribosomal RNA", at positions 524 to 776 of the family's 1533-position model. The record is from RNAcentral.